Molecule: ribosomal RNA, 699 nt
Filed under: Candona sp. 9a IK-2020
Lineage: Eukaryota; Metazoa; Arthropoda; Ostracoda; Podocopida; Candonidae
Description: SSU rRNA
Rfam family: Eukaryotic small subunit ribosomal RNA
Source: RNAcentral
AAUUGGAAUGACUACAAUUUAAAUCCUUUAAGAAGGAUCCAUUGGAGGGCAAGUCUGGUGCCAGCAGCCGCGGUAAUUCCAGCUCCAAUAGCGUAUAUUAAAGUUGCUGCAGUUAAAAAGCUCGUAGUUGGAUCUCAGUUACGGGCAGGUGGUUCACUUUACAGUGCUACUACCUGAACCGAACCUAUUGCUGGAUCUCUUGGGUGCCCUUCACUGGGUGCCCCUUGAGACCAGAGCGUUUACUUUGAGAAAAUUAGAGUGCUCAAAGCAGGCGAAUGCUUGAAUAGUUGUGCAUGGAAUAAUGAAAUAUGGCCUCGGUACUGUUUUGUUGGUUCACGGUGCUCGAGGUAAUGGUUGAAAGGGACUGACGGGGGCAUUCGUAUUGCGACGUUAGAGGUGAAAUUCUUAGAUCGUCGCAAGACGGACUACUGCGAAAGCAUUUGCCAAGAAUGUCUUCAUUAAUCAAGAACGAAAGUCAGAGGUUCGAAGGCGAUCAGAUACCGCCCUAGUUCUGACCUUAAACGAUGCUAACUGGCGAUCCAGUGGGGGUAUUUAAAAUGACCUGCUGGGCAGCUUCUGGGAAACCAAAGUUUUUGGGUUCCGGGGGAAGUAUGGUUGCAAAGCUGGAACUUAAAGGAAUUGACGGAAGGGCACCACCAGGAGUGGAGCCUGUGGCUUAAUUUGACUCAACACGGGAAC